CCCAUCCCGAACCCACCGGCUUUCUCUUCCCCGAGAGCCUGGACAUCAGAUCUACCAUGUGUUCUUGAGUUCCUUGCUCACCCCUCCUCGAAUCUCCUGUAGGCUUCAGAUCGUCGCGGCUGCCUUCUCCGUCCAUCUGCCGGAGAGCCGCACUGUCGCGUCCAUCCUCGUACAUAAGUUCGUCCAUCUCCCACCAUUAUCAGUAGAUAAGGAAAUUUACUACCCAGGAGGAUUGUAUGGAGACAGACUUGUGCCCCAGCCUGGAUAUUUCGUUGGUUUGCUGAACAGUGUACAUAAUACUUGGAUUCCAGAGAUUCCAGUGUAUAAGCAUGUUAAUUGGUGCGGCCAUAUUCGGCGUACACUGAUGUAUGAAGCAGAGAGAGUGCAGGACCUCAUCAAAAGAGGGGUUAAAGUCAUCCAACCUGGUGGCUGAAGCUUAUACGCCAAGGUACAUUAUCUUGAUAAUCUCCACCUAGAGGGAUUGCCGUUAAGUGAUCGAAUGUUCCCAAGAGCAUUCCUGUUCACUGAAGAUGUUAUGGCUCUUCAUUGGGUAAAGUCACCAAUUGAUGGAUCAAGAGAGUUUCGGCAAUCUAUGAUGAAAAGGGAGUAGAUCUGUGUUAUUCUAGACGCACCUUGCCUUCUGGAUACAGACCACGGAUAGCACAACCGAAUCAUCCUCCGCAAAAAGAAAAGGAUAUCAAACAAUUCAGUGUGAAGAGCAAGGACGCAGAAAAAUUACCACGGGCAUGCGUAUAUUGGAGGCAUCAAAUCGGAGGAACAAUUUGAGAACCCUAAAUAAAGGUAGUACGUCCCUGAAAACUACUUACACCA
Molecule: long non-coding RNA, 831 nt
Organism: Lolium rigidum
Lineage: Eukaryota; Viridiplantae; Streptophyta; Magnoliopsida; Poales; Poaceae
Exons: 5
Source: RefSeq, a predicted model, not a curated record